RNAcentral lists this ribosomal RNA (114 nucleotides) under uncultured bacterium. RNAcentral's name for it is "partial 16S ribosomal RNA". It matches the Rfam family "Bacterial small subunit ribosomal RNA", at positions 1369 to 1482 of the family's 1533-position model. The record is from RNAcentral.
CGUUCCCGGACCUUGCACACACCGCCCGUCAAGCCAUGGAAGCCGGGUGUACCUAAAGUCGGUGGCCUAACCUUUUGGAGGGAGCCGUCGAAGGUGGGACUCGUGACUGGGGUG